RNAcentral lists this ribosomal RNA (406 nucleotides) under uncultured bacterium. Its description in RNAcentral is "partial 16S ribosomal RNA". It matches the Rfam family "Bacterial small subunit ribosomal RNA", at positions 28 to 526 of the family's 1533-position model. The record is from RNAcentral.
GAUGAACGCUGGCGGCAGGCCUAACACAUGCAAGUCGAGCGAGCGGCGGACGGGUGAGUAAUGUCUGGGAAACUGCCUGAUGGAGGGGGAUAACUACUGGAAACGGUAGCUAAUACCGCAUACCAUCAGAUGUGCCCAUAUGGGAUUAGCUAGUAGGUGGGGUAACGGCGCACCUAGGCGACGAUCCCUAGCUGGUCUGAGAGGAUGACCAGCCACACUGGAACUGAUACACGGUCCUGACUCCUACGGGAGGCAGCAGUGGGGAAUAUUGCACAAUUGGCGCAAGCCUGAUGCAGCCAUGCCUCGUGUGUGAAGAAGGCCUUCGGGUUUUAAAGCGCUUUCAGCGGGGAGGCGUUACCCGCAGAAAAAGCACCGGCUAACUCCGUGCCAGCAGCCGCGGUAAUUC